Non-coding RNA from Nycticebus coucang (slow loris), 372 nucleotides. The record is from the annotation of a RefSeq genome assembly. Lineage: Eukaryota; Metazoa; Chordata; Mammalia; Primates; Lorisidae.
AUGGCCUGGACAGCACUCUUCCCUCUCAGCCUCCUCCUUCAUUGCACAGUGUCCCUCUCCCAGCCUGUGCUGACUCAGCCAUCCUCUGCAUCUGCUUCCCUGGCAGCCUCGGUCAAGCUCACCUGCACCCUGAGCAGCGAACACAGUGACUACACCACUGAAUGGUAUCAGCAGCAGCCAGGGAAGGCCCCUCAGUACCUGAUGUAUAUUAGCAGUGACGGAAGCUCCAGCAAUGGGGAUGGAAUCCCUGAUUGUUUCUCCUGCUCCAGCUCUUGGGCUGACCACUACUUAACCAUCUCCAACCUCCAGUCUGAGGAUGAGGCUGACUAUGUCUGUGGUGCAAGUUAUACCAUUAGUGGUUCAUUUGCAUGA